CCUACGGGUGGCAGCAGUAGGGAAUCUUCCACAAUGGGCGCAAGCCUGAUGGAGCAACACCGCGUGAGUGAAGAAGGCUUUCGGCUUGUAAAGCUCUGUUGUUGGAGAAGAACGUGCGUGAGAGUAACUGUUCACGCAGUGACGGUAUCCAACCAGAAAGUCUCGGCAAACUACGUCCCAGCAGCUCCGGUAAUACGUAGGUGGGAAGCGCUAUCCGGUUUUAUUUGGCGAAAGGCGAGGGCAGGGGUUUGUUAGGUCUGAUGUGAAAGCGUUCGGCUUAACCGAAGAAGUGCAUCGGAAACCGGGAUGCUUGAGUGCAGAAGAGGACAGUGGAACUCCAGGUGUAGCGGUGAAAUGCGUAGAUAUAUGGAAGAACACCAAUGGCGAAGGCAGCUGUCUGGUCUGCAACUGACGCUGAGGCUCGAAAGCGUGGGUAGCGAACAGGAUUAGAUACCCCAGUAGUC
RNAcentral lists this ribosomal RNA (464 nucleotides) under uncultured bacterium. RNAcentral's name for it is "partial 16S ribosomal RNA". It matches the Rfam family "Bacterial small subunit ribosomal RNA", at positions 338 to 795 of the family's 1533-position model. The record is from RNAcentral.